UACGUAGGUGGCAAGCGUUGUCCGGAUUUAUUGGGGUUAAAGGGUGCGUAGGUGGGUUGAUAAGUCAGUGGUGAAAUCCCCGAGCUUAACUUGGGAACUGCCAUUGAUACUAUUGAUCUUGAAUACCGUGGAGGUCAGCGGAAUAUGUCAUGUAGCGGUGAAAUGCUUAGAUAUGACAUAGAACACCAAUUGCGAAGGCAGCUGGCUACGCGAAUAUUGACACUGAUGCACGAAAGCGUGGGGAUCAAACAGG
Molecule: ribosomal RNA, 253 nt
Filed under: uncultured bacterium
Lineage: Bacteria
Description: partial 16S ribosomal RNA
Rfam family: Bacterial small subunit ribosomal RNA
Source: RNAcentral